GGUAACGGCCACCAAGCGACGAUGCGUAGGGGUUCUGAGAGGAAGGUCCCCCACACUGGUACUGAGACACGGACCAGACUCCUACGGAAGGCAGCAG
This 97-nucleotide ribosomal RNA is filed under the name uncultured bacterium. RNAcentral's name for it is "partial 16S ribosomal RNA". It matches the Rfam family "Bacterial small subunit ribosomal RNA", at positions 256 to 354 of the family's 1533-position model. The record is from RNAcentral.